RNAcentral lists this long non-coding RNA (513 nucleotides) under Phoenix dactylifera (date palm). RNAcentral describes it as "long non-coding RNA (PDAC_LNC016745)". Lineage: Eukaryota; Viridiplantae; Streptophyta; Magnoliopsida; Arecales; Arecaceae. The record is from RNAcentral.
UGGAUUUGCAAUUGUGUAUCCACUACCAUUCUUUGGUAAUUUUGCUUGAGGUUAGGUUUAUGUCCUCAUUCUCUAUACAUCAUUUUCUUGAACUUUGUUAAAUUCUGGAAGAUAAGUAAACAUGGUAAUAAAGGAAAUCAAGUAAUAGAUUGUCUUGUAAGAGAAUGGGCAGACAUGAGGCACACACACUAAAUUUCCAGUGUUUCCGAGGGUCUGAUAAAAAAUGCAGGUGUUACAUCCAUGAUGAAAAAUCUUUAUAAUUUUGAAGAAAGACCAUAAUUGUUCAAGAUAUUCAUCAACCUUCUUCUACUUACCUUCAUACAUUUAUUUAGGUUCAAUUUCUGUAAUCGACACCUCAUUUGAUGACACUGGUAUUAACUUGCUUGAAGAUUUGUCAUGCGUACCUCCAGAUAAAUCAACUCAUUUGAAUAAGCAUAUGAAUCAAUGCCACUCUUUCCGGUGCAAAAUGCUGGUAUAGAAGGAGUCGAGAGAGACACACAGAUACUGCUGAGC